GUGAAAUUGUUGAAAGGGAAACGAUUAAAGUCAGUCGUACCUACGAGUGAUCAACCUACUCGAGUGCGUAUUUUGUGGGUAUGUUUGAGUACUUAAAAACCUUCAUGCUUACAAAUUGGUGCUUCGUUUGGGCGUUACUUUCUCGUAUGGUAGGUUAACAUCAAUUUCGAUCGUUAUAAAAUGACUGGAGGAAUGUAGCUUCGACCUCGGUUGAAGUGUUAUAGCCUUUGGUAGAUGUAAUGAUUGGGAUUGAGGAUUGCAACGGAUACCCUUCAGGGCUAUUCGUCUGAUCUCUCGAUACGUUGCCUUGAUGUUGAAAGCUUGCUUAUGAUGUUAGGGUAUUACGGUCAAAAGGUUAGAACGAAUUACAUUCGUUAAGGAUGUUGACGUAAUGGCUUUAAACGAC
Molecule: ribosomal RNA, 406 nt
Filed under: uncultured Glomeraceae
Lineage: Eukaryota; Fungi; Glomeromycota; Glomeromycetes; Glomerales; Glomeraceae
Description: eukaryotic LSU rRNA
Source: RNAcentral